GGAGCCUGAGAAACGGCUACCACAUCCAAGGAUGGCAGCAGGCGCGCAAAUUACCCAAUCCUGACACAGGGAGGUAGUGACAAUAAAUAACAAUACAGGACUCUUACGAGUCUUGUAAUUGGAAUGAGUACAAUUUAAAUCUCUUAACGAGGAACAAUUGGAGGGCAAGUCUGGUGCCAGCAGCCGCGGUAAUUCCAGCUCCAAUAGCGUAUAUUAAAGUUGUUGCAGUUAAAAAGCUCGUAGUUGAAUUUCGGGGUUAGUAGGUUGGUCAUGCCUCUGGUAUGUACUGAUCUCACUGAUUCCUCCUUCCUAAUGAACCGUAAUGCCAUUAAUUUGGUGUUGCGGGGAAUUUGGACUGUUACUUUGAAAAAAUUAGAGUGUUUAAAGCAAGCUAACGCUUGAAUACAUUAGCAUGGAAUAAUGAAAUAGGACGUUCGAUCCUAUUUUGUUGGUUUCUAGGAUUGACGUAAUGAUUAAUAGGGAUAGUUGGGGGCAUUAGUAUUCAAUUGUCAGAGGUGAAAUUCUUGGAUUUAUUGAAGACUAACUACUGCGAAAGCAUUUGCCAAGGAUGUUUUCAUUAAUCAAGAACGAAAGUUAGGGGAUCGAAGACGAUCAGAUACCGUCGUAGUCUUAACCAUAAACUAUGCCGACUAGGGAUCGGAUGAUGUUAAUUUUUUAAUGACUCAUUCGGCGCCUUACG
Molecule: ribosomal RNA, 700 nt
Filed under: uncultured fungus
Lineage: Eukaryota; Fungi
Description: SSU rRNA
Rfam family: Eukaryotic small subunit ribosomal RNA
Source: RNAcentral